UUUUUUUUUUUAGGUUUUAGGUUUUAGGCCACAUUUUUAACUUGGGUUGGGUUGGAUUUGGGGGGGGGGGGAAUAGAAGGGGAAAUUUAGGUUAUAAGCCAGGGUUGGAGUUGGCCUAAGACCAAACCCAACCCUAGGCUAAAUGCUAUUUUUUAGGUUUUAUUCCCCCCCCCCAAACCCAACCCAACCCAACCCAACCCAACCCAUGCUAAAUAUACGGGCUAAAAGUUAAAAAUCUAAAAAAAGCCAGAUUUAGCCCAGGAUUAGUGGGGCUGGCCCACCAUAUAUUUGUAUUUCAAAUAUAAAACUAAAUAAAAUAAACGGUAAAAAAAUAUAUUUAACAGUCCAAAUUUAGAUCUUACGGCUAAAGUAAUUAAAUCUAACGUCCAAAUUUAAAUAUCGGAUACUCGAAAAAAACUUCUCCUAAGAAAGUUCAAAGAUUAACAUCAAGUACUAAUUAUAAGUCGCGCAUUUGUCACUUAUACAGAAUACACUUGCAAGCGUGGUAGACUAAUGAUUAAGAUGUGAUUUUCUCAUUAACUUUUAUCUUCCACAUACUCCUUUUUUUAUAGUCUUUUAUAUAUUUAAUAAAUCAAAUCAACAAAGAGAAAACGGCAGUGCGAAUAUAUACUACUUGUAAUUAGGGGUGGUUUGGUUUAGGAUAACGGACCUAAAUGGUCAAUUCAAAAACUGAACCGAAAUUGUUCGGAAAAAAGGGCAAAAAACCGAAACCAAACCAAUAUUUUGGUUUUCUCAAAAUUCGGUAAUAUCGAAAUAGUUUCAGCAUUUCGGUUCAGGCUCGAGAAUGGGCCUUCAAGUCAAAUUUUUUGGCUUCUGAUUCAAGACCAGCAAAACCCAAUUUUGCCCAAACUUUUUGAGCCCCAAAUGUUAAGCUAUGGGCCUAUGCUCAUGUGCUCUAUUCCUCUCCAUUUCCUGAGCAAAAAUACUUGUGAUUAUUAAAAUUAUUGUUGUGAAUAAUAUGUGGAUGGCCCACAUGAAUGAUUUGUUACUAUUUAUGCACAUUACUUUCACUAUUCAUUUGUAGAAAAUUUGUAAACUGAAUAGUGUUCUCUUUGCUUAUAAAAUGAAUGAGAGGUGAAGAAUGAGGAUACAUACGAAUGAGGAGAGAAACCAAACGAAAGAGGAAGAGAGAAAAGAGAGGAAGAAGAUAGGAGAUAAUAAAGAGGAUUAUCUUUGUACUCCUAUUAUUCCAAAUUAUAAAGAAAUCACAACUACUGCCCUGAGGACGUACUCCAGUCACACUGACUGUAGAGGAACCUUGUAAAUUUUGUGUUUUGUUUAUUUAUUCCACUACACACACCGUUGAUUUUACAACACGUUAUCAGCACAAAAAGCUCUAAUGUCAGUGGAAAGCACUAUCUACCUCUCACCUCCAUCAGCUAAAAUCUCACAUAUGAGAGACGGCAAACAGGGAAGAACAUCUUGUCACAAAAAUCCAUCAACCUUUCUUUUAUCACUUUUUCUUUUUAUCACUCUAACUGUUGAUGUGUUAAUCCUUAUCCUUGCUAGACUUGCAAUCUCGUCUUUCUCUCAUGGACAAGAGAGAUGGAGAGAUCUUACAGACAAACAAAGGUGCAGAAAAACAAGCAAGGGUAUGUCCAUUUUUCGUCUCUCCCACCGCGCCAGAAGCGCCCCUAUCGAAUUCCGUUGAGAAUUGAAAUUUACAAUGACCUAUAGUCGUCACGAUAUGAGAAAACUCGUACCUGACAACUAGUUUUCAGAGAUCCAGAAGAAUCUCAUCAGACUUGGAAACUCAGAUUGCGUCGUUCUCGAUAGAUCUCGAGGACCUCCAUGAAUCAUCAGUUGUUUAAGAUGGUGAUGACAGGACUGACUCCACACAUGCCUCCCUUUCUUAUACCUCCAUUAACUCCACUGUCAUCUAUGUCCCUAUAGGGAAGUUCUUGCUUUGCGAUGCCAUGUUCUCUGACCCAUGCAAGAACAACACCAGUUUCUAGUUGCCUUUUUGGAUGGAAUUGGUUUUGUGUGACCUCCACAACAACCCAGCUGGUCCUGGGUUUCGAGACUGGUUGAGACAGACAAAGAAAGAAAAAAGGGGAAGUUUAUGGAAUAUGCAUGGCACUAUCUAGAAAAAGCAGAAUAAUGCAUCUGCACCAUUUGAAUGAAAAAUAAUAAUGGGGCCAAAAUUUUUGGAAUGAUGCAGCAUGUGAAUGAAAAAAUAAUAAUUAAAAAGGAAAAGAGGUGGAAUCUUGUUGCAUAAUGUCGACACAACAUGUGAAAAAGAAAUAAUAAAAAUAAAAAGAUAAAGACUUUUGGAUGGUGUUGUGCCAUCUGAAAAGAAAGAAGGAAAAAUAUAUAUUUAUUUAUGUGAAUGGUGUUGGUUUAAAAGCCUCAUCACAAGUUCUAUUUACUUUAAAGCAAUUUAUUUAUCAUGGACGAUUUUACCGCCUACUGCUUUAAGUUUUGAUUUAUGUGAAUGGUGCUGAAUUAAAGUUCUUGUCACAAGCUUUAUUUAUUUAAAUGCAAUUUAUUUACUAUGGCUGGAAUUACCACCUAUUGCUUUAAUUUAUUUAUUGUACUUAUUUUUUGUUAUGAUGAAUAUAUAACAAUGACCCGAAGUUCCUUGAUCAUAUCAGAACCUGCAGUUUCUUGAUCCUUAUCAUAUAAAAUGAUUGGACCCGAAGUUCCAUCAUACAAAAAGAGAUCAAGACAUGAAGUUCCUUGAUGAGUAUCUUAAGUUUGAAGUACCGCAGUGCCUCAACUUAAUUGUAAUAAAGGUCAUAAGAGUCUCAGUCUACACACUAUUAAAUAAGGACCAGAAGUUCCUUAUGUCCAUACUCAAAAUAGUUUAGCAGAAGCAUUUAUUAAGUGGAUGAAAUUGAUUACCCGCGCUGUGUUCAUGAAAACAAAAUUACUAGUUUUUACAUGAGUACAUGCUAUUUUGCAUGAUGCAUUAUUAAUUCGGUUGAGAUUUAUUACCAACUAUCAAUACUUCUUAGUACAACUCGUGUUUGGAAACCAGCCAAACAUUAUACAUUUACGAGUCUUUGGUUGUGUGCCUAUUGCACUACCACAAUGUACUGAAAUGAGGCAUCAUCGCUGAUUGGGUAUUAAUGUUGAACACCAUCUAUCAUUCAAUAUUUGGAACCCUUCACUGGGGAUAUGUUUACCGCGUGGUUUGUGAACUAUCAUUUUGAUAAGAUAAUUUUCCCGUCGUUAGAGGGAGAAAAUAACAUCGUUCCAGAAGAACAAUGAGAAAAUAUCAUUCCAGAAGAAUGAUGAGAAAAGACCGUUCCAGAAGAACGAAAAUAAUUUGUCUUAUUUUGAUUCACGAAGCAAUCAAUGUGAAAAUGAAUUUUUGAAUAAUUGAAUAAUGCAAUGAUGUGUCAAUCAAAUGCCAGAUGCAUUUAAUAAUGCAACGAAAGUGAUAAAAUCACAUAUACUUACUGCAAAUGUGCGUACAAGAAUUAAUGUCUAUGUUGGACAAUAUAAUGAGGCAGUAAAUAAUUUAUAUUGCAUACCUGAAGCGUGGCAGGCCCUUAGACUCAAAAGGUUCAGUCAUUCGAAAGAAGAAUAAUAUAGCACUACUAAACUAUUGCAUUCCCGAAGCAUAACUGUUGCAUGCCCGAAGCAUGACAGUCACUGCAUGGAUACACGUCAUAGAAAGGACAAUCCGCAGACAUGGGAAUGUUAAUGUCUCAUGCAUGAAUCAUGAUAGACAUAUAAGUUCCAAUGACUCAACUCUCGGAAGUGGAGAUUAAAAAUCCUAGCUCUAUAACGCUCAAGAAGAGGUUAUGAUCCACAUUCUCUAAAUUAUGACUAUCCUGGAAGAGAUAGUGUAAUGCCCUUGAAGAGGCAAUGGAUAUCCAAAAGAAAUAAAAAGCUUUUAUGCAUGCGCAUGCAUAUGAGAAUAUGGGAUCACGAAUUGAUGAUAACCAAUUGUAAUUUUGGUUUUACAAGUAGCUACUAAAUUCAUCAAUGAGCUGUGUUAAUAUUGAGUCCCGUUCUUUUCCGUCAACAAAAUUUAUUGGCCAAAAAUGGAGAAAGACAAUUCCAUUACAAUCUUGUAAGAACGUGAAAAAAUUGACUUAUACUUUAAUACAAUACAAAUAGCCAAAAGAUGUUAAACCAAUGAGGUUACAUUGGGCAUUUGUAAUACAGUGAAAUACAAUUACAUGAUAUGACACAAGGUUACUAAUUGAAACUUGAAAUUAUACUCUGGUAAACAAGUUCAUAUGAAUGGAGAAUUACAUACAAAAGGUUAUGAGUCGCCCACAUCAUAUCUCCAUGAGUAAAUCCCUCAAGUAUACAUGGAAGCAAGUUGUUCUGUAUAAAUUCCAAAGGAGAAUGUGUCAUGAAGUGUAGAAAAUCCCUGAAGGAUUCAAAUUGCUUGAAGUAAGCCCUAGAAGGGUAAAACAUAAAUUAUGUACUCCAUACCAAUGGAUGAUAUAAAUUACCUUACCGAGUGUUAUCAUUAUGAUAUUGUUGCAACAUACUAAAAUCUCUUGCAAGAGUCAAUGACAUUAAAUUAGAACUCAUGAAGAGUCAAUGAGAUUAAAUUAGAACUCCUAAAAAGUCAAUGAUAUUAAAUUAGGACUCCUUAAGAGUCAAGAAAUAUUAUCAAGUGUUGAGAGGAAUAUUGUCUUGAACUGCAGAUCGAACAAUAUGCCAACAUGAAUUUUAUCCAUAAUGUUUAUGAUAUUAAAGAAUCAUAUGGAUUGAAGAUUAUGAGUUGAAUACUCAAAUGAUGUAGACACUAAGAACGAUCAUUUAUUUUUCUGAGGGUAAAGAUAAAUUGAUAUUUGGUCCAGAAGUACCACAUCUUAGUGAAGUAUAUCCUUAUUGUAUUUGGCACAAUACAUGGAAUGAAAUCAUUUAUCUAUUGAUAUCUCCGAGAAAUUAUACAUAUGUGCAUAUAUAUGAGUUAAAAACAAACAAAUAGGAUGAAGCCUUCACAAAUGUUGCUCAUGUGAAGCCUUAGUACUCGGCAGUACCCCAGAAAGAGGAGGCACUGGAGAUUGAUCAUGUGACGCCUCAGUAUUUGGCAAAACACCAGAACGGGAAGGCAUUAGUUGCCUUCAGAAUCUAGCAACAAACCUCUGGUGAUCACUUUGAAUCUGACUUUUGGAUUCCUAUAGUUGGUCGAGCUUUCUCUUCAUGCUCGUCGAGUAAUUAUUGGCAAGCACAUGUAACACUCUAUUCUCGUGCUUGAACCCUCCGAUCUCUUGUUUAAGACUUACCACAUCAGCCAUCAAUGAUUCAACUUGGCGAGUUUGAGCAAGUAGGCGUUGGUCCAUAUUGGAAACAGAGCCAGCACACUGAACACUGAGAGUCAAUGAGUCUUGAACGGCCGAUUCAUCAGACCGUUUUGAAAGGAUUGUGUUAUCCUUUGGAGUGAGAAUAUUCCUAGCUACUACUGUAGCGGUUAUGUUAUUCUUCAUCAUAGAGUCCCCAACCGUAAGAGAACCAUUAGAAGAUAAGAAGGACAGGCGCCAUAUGUUAUCCUGACGCUGCUCGUCUGUAUCACUUAUAAGACUCAAAUCUAAGCAAAUGUUAGAUGGGCAAGCCAUUUUCAAAAAUGAUGAAAGAAAAAUGAGGUCAAAUAAAAUCUCAGAAGUGCAAGAAGAGGAAAAUUUCUACAGGCAGCAACUUUCCGAGCAUACAUUUUGAGCACAAUUAACGUCUCUAUAAAAUAAGAAGCAACAGAGCCACUUGUUCAGAGAUCGAAGAGACACUGCUCUCCGAAUUUCAAAAGCCAGAUGUUCCUGAAUAAAGUUUGUUAGCAUUUUUUAGACGCAAUCUCAUGUUUUUCGGAUAUCGCGUGCAACUUUAUCAAAGAUCUCUGACAAAGUUGAAAACGCGUAAAUUUUACUGUUCUAAUUACACCACAGUUGCUGACAAGAGUAAAGGCACAACACCACUACAUGUUACUUGGAAAUCUCUACAUAUGUCGACCUAUGUUCUCCAUAACAAGGCAGACCUGCAAGAAUAUUUAACUCUUCCUCAUCUCCAAGAAUGCAUCUUCAACAAGCAUCUUGAAAUACUCAGUUUUCUUCAUCUCCGAAAAUAUUCAACAAGCAUCUUCAACAAGCAUCUUGAAAUAUUCAGUUUUCUUCAUCUCCGAAAAUACCUCUUCAAAACAAGUCACACCAGAGCAAGAGUAUCUUAUAUCAUCAGGGACAAGAGCAAGAGUAUUUCAUAUCAUGCAAUCUCCCUGUCCUUUCCUUUAUCCUUGUCCUUACCUACCAAGACAAGGAUAAAGAAAGCAAUAUGUCGGAACCUCCAGUCUAACUUCCAGUAAGGAACCGACUGCCUGGAACCUUUCCUGAUUGCUUACCUAGCAUUGGUCUCGAGUAGUCAUCUUCAAAUGUCGACAUGAUGUUGGCUAUUUACACUAAAGCUGUCAAGCAUGAUGAGUAGCAAAGGUUUGCAUUCCACUCCUGCAUCAGUGGACAAAUACUACAAGAGAAGAGGCCACAUAUGCAUGGAGAAAAACCAAGGAAAAUACAACUUCUGCAAGGGGAACAGAUAAGGCAAGCAAAAAUGAUACAUUGAAACAUGUGGAAACAAGAGCUACAAACACGUGCCGAUUCAUCCCUGACAAAGCCGAAGAUCACUUGCCACGUGAAGCUCUUCGUGGUCCAAUUUCAUUCAAGAUCAAGCAUCGAUGGCCUUUGAAGAAAUCACAAGUCCGAUUCAAGAUCAAGUAUCCACCACCCUUGAAUCAAAUUCAGCUCCAGAUAAAAAAAAGUAAAUUCAGACAUUUGGAGGAAGUAUAGCAGAAGGCCCUCCAGCCCAGUUCAAGAACAAGCAUGUGGAAAGUUAACUACAAGUACAACACCUCUUUUGGCAACUCUUCUCGCUAAGAGACUGAAGCAGAAUGAUUAACAAUCAGCCUAAAUGAUUUGAAAUCAGGGGGAGAUACUCAUCAGGGAGAGCAUCCAAAACAAAUCAAGAUUUUAACGAGUCAAUUAAAUACUUGUGGCCAUCCAAGGGGGAGUGUUGUGAAUAAUAUGUGGAUGGCCCACAUAAAUGAUUUGUUACUAUUUAUGCACAGUAUUUUCACUAUUCAUUUGUAGAAAAUUUGUAAAGUGAAUAGUAUUCUCUUUGCUUAUAAAAUGAAUGAGAGGUGAAAAAGGAGGAUACAUACGACUGAGGAGAGAAACCAAACGGAAGAGGAAGAGAGAAAAGAGAGGAAGAAGAUAGGAGAUAAUAGAGAGAAUUAUUUUUGUACUCCUAUUAUUCCAAAUUAUAAAGAAAGCACCACUACUGCCCCGAGGACGUACUCCAAUCACAUUAACUGUAGAGGAACCUCAUAAAUUUUGUGUUUUGUUUAUUUAUUCCACUGCAUACACCGUCGAUUUUACAACAAUUACAUCAAUUUAAUGAAAAAGUUUGUACACAUCAAUUCAAAAAUUCCUAUUGAAAGGAAACAAAUUGCUGCAAUUGCAUUAGUACACCAUUACGGUACAUACCUCAACAAUCCCUAAUCUCAACAAUCCCCUCAACCAUUACACGAAAAGGUCUGACCUCAACAAUCUUCUAAUCUCAAAUCAAAAUUCAAAAUUCAAAUCGGAACUCUAAUCCCCAUUUCAAAAUCCCAAAUCGAAAUCCUAAUUGAAAUAUGACGAAUUAAAGGGAAAAUUUCUUACAUUGAGCGAGACUUGAUCGAGAGAGAGAGAGUCGGAGAGGAGUCGAGAGAGACGUGUGGUGUCGUGGGUGUGAUGUGUCGGAGUUGAGAUCGACUGAGAGAGAGAGUCGACAGAGGUGAAACACAGAGAGAGGUCGAGAGAGAGGGUGGGUGGGGCCAGAGUCGAGAUCAGGUAGUUUGGGCCUAAGUGGGCCGAGUCGAAAGAGACAAAAAUCUGGUUACUGGGUUAAGGAAGAAGAGAAGACGAACUGAAGAGAAGAUGGUCAAGAGAGAGAAACAGGCCGAGAGACAAAAAGAGGAGUUUCAAAAGAGAGAGAUAGGGGAGGAGUGGGAAAUCAGGCAACGGAGUUAGGGGAGGAGGAGAGCUCGAGGAGUCGAGAGAGAGUUACGAACCACUUAC
RNAcentral lists this long non-coding RNA (8030 nucleotides) under Malus domestica (apple). RNAcentral's name for it is "long non-coding RNA (MDOM_LNC009553)". Lineage: Eukaryota; Viridiplantae; Streptophyta; Magnoliopsida; Rosales; Rosaceae. The record is from RNAcentral.